RNAcentral lists this ribosomal RNA (440 nucleotides) under uncultured bacterium. RNAcentral describes it as "partial 16S ribosomal RNA". It matches the Rfam family "Bacterial small subunit ribosomal RNA", at positions 338 to 795 of the family's 1533-position model. The record is from RNAcentral.
CCUACGGGUGGCAGCAGUGGGGGAUAUUGCACAAUGGGGGAAACCCUGAUGCAGCGACGCCGCGUGUGGGAAGACGGUCCUCUGGAUUGUAAACCACUGUCCCCAGGGACGAAGAUGACGGUACCUGGGGAGGAAGCUCCGGCUAACUACGUGCCAGCAGCCUCGGUAAUACGUAGGGAGCGAGCGUUGUCCGGAAUUACUGGGUGUAAAGGGAGCGUAGGCGGGGAUGCAAGUUGGGUGUCAAAACUACCGGCUCAACUGGGAGGCGCACUCAAAACUGCAGCUCUUGAGUGAAGUAGAGGCAGGCGGAAUUCCUGGUGUAGCGGGGAAAUGCGUAGAUAUUAGGAAGAAAAACAGUGGCGAAGGCGGCCUGCUGGGCUUUGAAUGACGCUGAGGCUCGAAAGUGUGGGGAGCAAACAGGAUUAGAUACCCUGGUAGUC